UACGGGGGGUGCGAGCGUUGUCCGGAAUCACUGGGCGUAAAGGGCGCGUAGGUGGUCUUGUAAGUCUGUGGUGAAAGCCUGGGGCUCAACCCCAGGUCUGCCAUGGAUACUGCGAGACUUGAGUACUGUAGAGGCAGGUAGAACGUCGGGUGUAGCGGUGGAAUGCGUAGAGAUCCGACAGAAGACCGGUGGCGAAGGCGGCCUGCUGGGCAGUAACUGACACUGAGGCGCGACAGCGUGGGGAGCAAACAGG
This 253-nucleotide ribosomal RNA is filed under the name uncultured bacterium. RNAcentral's name for it is "partial 16S ribosomal RNA". It matches the Rfam family "Bacterial small subunit ribosomal RNA", at positions 524 to 776 of the family's 1533-position model. The record is from RNAcentral. RNAcentral also lists the same sequence under 1 other name.